Molecule: ribosomal RNA, 1077 nt
Filed under: human gut metagenome
Description: bacterial LSU rRNA
Rfam family: Bacterial large subunit ribosomal RNA
Source: RNAcentral
AUUCCAAUCGAACUUGGAGAUAGCUGGUUCUCCCCGAAAUAGCUUUAGGGCUAGCGUUGGGAAUGAGUUUAGCGGAGGUAAAGCACUGAAUGAGCUAGGGGGCGCAAGCUUACUGAACUCUAUCAAACUAAGAAUGCCGCAUAAAUGCUUCCCAGCAGUCAGACUGCGAGUAAUAAAAUCCGUGGUCAAAAGGGUAACAGCCCAGACCCACAGCUAAGGUCCCCAAUACAUGCUAAGUGGAAAACGAUGUGAGAUUGCAUAAACAACCAGGAUGUUGGCUUAGAGGCAGCCACUCGUUCAAAGAGUGCGUAAUAGCUCACUGGUCGAGUGAUCUUGCGCGGAAAAUUUAACGGGGCUAAGCAUGUAACCGAAGCUUAGGGUUUACAGCAAUGUAAGCGGUAGGGGAGCGUCGAAUACGGGGUGAAGUCAUACCGAAAGGAAUGGUGGACUGUAUUCGAGUGAGAAUGCCGGAAUGAGUAGCGAGAAUUAUGUGGGAAUCAUAAUGGCCGAAAAUCUAAGGUUUCUUGGGGAAGGUUCGUCCGCCCAAGGUAAGCCGGGAGCUAAGGCGAGGCCGCAAGGCGUAGUCGAUGCACAUACGGUAGAAAUUCCGUAGCCACCGAACUUUAAACCAGAAGGACACUUUCAGAUAGCGGGACCCAGCCGUUGGUAGAGCUGGGCGCAAGGGACCGAAAUAUAGUAGGGAAGUCCGCGAUGCUGGGAGGCGAGAAAAGCUCUGGUGUACACUAAGGUGCCCGUACCGCAAACCGACACAGGUAGAUGAGGAGAGAAUCCUAAGGCCAACGGGAGAAGGGUUGUUAAGGAACUCGGCAAAUUGACCCCGUAACUUCGGAAGAAGGGGAGCCUCGAAAGAGGCCGCAGUGAAUAGGCCCAAGCAACUGUUUACCAAAAACACAGGUCUAUGCUAAAUCGAAAGAUGACGUAUAUGGGCUGACGCCUGCCCGGUGCCGGAAGGUUAAGAGGAGAGCUUAGCGCAAGCGAAGGUUUGAAUUGAAGCCCCGGUAAACGGCGGCCGUAACUAUAACGGUCCUAAGGUAGCGAAAUUCCUUGUCAGGUAAG